GAUGAACGCUGGCGGCGUGCCUAAUACAUGCAAGUCGAGCGAACAGACGAGGAGCUUGCUCCUCGGACGUUAGCGGCGGACGUGUGAGAAACACGUGUAUAACCUACCUAUAAUACUGGGAUAACUUCGGGAAACCGGAGCUAAUCCCGGAUAAGAUAUUGAACCGCAUGGUGCAUUAGUGAAAGACGGUUUUGGUGUAACUUAUAGAUGGAUCCGCGCCGGAUUAGGUAGUUGGGAGGUUAAGCGCUUAUCACGGCAACGAUGGGCAGGCGAGUUGAGAGGGUGGUCGGCGGCAUGGGAAGUGAGCCGCGGUCCAUGCUCCUAAGGGAGGGAGCAGUAGGGAAUGUUCGGCAAUGGGGGAAAGUAUUACGGAGCAAGGCCGCGCGAGUGAUGAAGGUCUUCGGAUCGUGAUACUCUGUUAUUGGGGAAGAACAAAUGUGUAAGUAACUAUGCACGUCUUGACGGUACCUAAUCAGAAAGCCACGGCUAACUACGUG
RNAcentral lists this ribosomal RNA (497 nucleotides) under uncultured bacterium. RNAcentral describes it as "partial 16S ribosomal RNA". It matches the Rfam family "Bacterial small subunit ribosomal RNA", at positions 28 to 507 of the family's 1533-position model. The record is from RNAcentral.